This 878-nucleotide ribosomal RNA is filed under the name uncultured bacterium. RNAcentral's name for it is "bacterial SSU rRNA". It matches the Rfam family "Bacterial small subunit ribosomal RNA", at positions 17 to 910 of the family's 1533-position model. The record is from RNAcentral.
UCAUGGCUCAGGACGAACGCUGGCGGCGUGCUUAACACAUGCAAGUCGAGCGGAAAGGCCUUUCGGGGUACUCGAGCGGCGAACGGGUGAGUAACACGUGGGCAACUUGCCCCUCGCUCUGGGAUAACUCCGGGAAACCGGGGCUAAUACCAGAUAUGACCUUCUUAGGCAUCUUUGAAGGUGGAAAGUUUUUCGGCGAGGGAUGGGCCCGCGGCCUAUCAGCUUGUUGGUGGGGUGAUGGCCUACCAAGGCAGUGACGGGUAGCCGGCCUGAGAGGGCGACCGGCCACACUGGGACUGAGACACGGCCCAGACUCCUACGGGAGGCAGCAGUGGGGAAUAUUGCGCAAUGGGCGAAAGCCUGACGCAGCGACGCCGCGUGAGGGAUGACGGCCUUCGGGUUGUAAACCUCUUUCAGCAGGGACGAAGCGCAAGUGACGGUACCUGCAGAAGAAGCACCGGCCAACUACGUGCCAGCAGCCGCGGUAAUACGUAGGGUGCAAGCGUUGUCCGGAAUUAUUGGGCGUAAAGAGCUCGUAGGCGGCUUGUCACGUCGACUGUGAAAACCCGGGGCUCAACUCCGGGCCUGCAGUCGAUACGGGCUGGCUUGAGUGCGGUAGGGGAGACUGGAAUUCCUGGUGUAGCGGUGAAAUGCGCAGAUAUCAGGAGGAACACCGGUGGCGAAGGCGGGUCUCUGGGCCGUAACUGACGCUGAGGAGCGAAAGCGUGGGGAGCGAACAGGAUUAGAUACCCUGGUAGUCCACGCCGUAAACGUUGGGCGCUAGGUGUGGGGACCUAUCCACGGUCUCCGUGCCGCAGCUAACGCAUUAAGCUGCCCCGCCUGGGGAGUACGGCCGCAAGGCUAAAACUCAAAGGAAU